Molecule: signal recognition particle RNA, 299 nt
Filed under: Cebus imitator (Panamanian white-faced capuchin)
Lineage: Eukaryota; Metazoa; Chordata; Mammalia; Primates; Cebidae
Description: Metazoan signal recognition particle RNA (ENSCCAG00000013064.1)
Rfam family: Metazoan signal recognition particle RNA
About the family: The signal recognition particle (SRP) is a universally conserved ribonucleoprotein. It is involved in the co-translational targeting of proteins to membranes. The eukaryotic SRP consists of a 300-nucleotide 7S RNA and six proteins: SRPs 72, 68, 54, 19, 14, and 9.
Source: RNAcentral
GCUGGGUGCGGUGGUGCGUGCCUAUAGUCCCAGCUACUCAGGAGGCUGAGGUGGGAGGAUUGCUUGAGCCCAGGAGUUCUGGGCUGUAGUACACUAUGCUGAUCGGGUGUCCACACUAAGUUCGGCAUCAAUAUGGUGACCUCCCAGGAGCAGAGGACCACCAGGUUGCCUAAGGAGGGGUGAACUGGCCCAGGUCAGAAACAGAGCAGGUCAAAACUCCCGUGUUGAUCAGUAGUGGGAUCGCGCCUGUGAAUAGCCACUGCACUCCAGCCUGGGCAACAUAGCGAGACCCCGUCUCU